AGUUGCACUUUUGCAAAAAUAUCAAAAAAGUUAUUGGAAAUGGGCUUUAAAGAGAACCAAUUAUUAACGAAUAGUGAGCCUCACAGAAAAAUAGUUUCAGUGCCAAAAAAACCUGCUCUUAGUGAAUCCGGCGUUUUGGAUUCGUUUAUUGAUGUUGAAAUGGAGGAUGACGUUUUUUACAACGAUCAAGUAAACGUUGACCGUCAAUUGUCCUAUGAAGAAGCGAGAAAAGAAGUUAUCACUACGUUUUAUAGUUAAAACACUUUGUGAAAUACGAAAAUCUUAUUUUAAAAAGGCAGCUUUGGAAUAUAGAAGUAAACGUUAUGGAGUAGCCGCAUAUUUGUCCGAUGUGGGCCACAAUCUGAGUGACAAGAUAAAAGAAGCCAACAUUAUUGCUAGUCGAUAUAUAUUUAAUAAUCGCAAUAAAAAUAAUUCUUGUAUGCUGAUGGACUUGCAUGGGCUCCACGUGAAGGAGGCGCUCUUAUUUGUGAAAGAGAGAAUUCUUUUUUUGAAAAAUGUAAAAAGGAGAUCAGAAGAUCCACCUAAAGGGUUUUUAAAAAUUAUUACGGGAUCUGGCCGGCAUAGCUCGACGGGCAUAAGCAAAGUUAAGAAGGCUCUGGAAAUCUUUUUGAAAAAGAACAACUUUUCUUACAGGAAACUUACAGAUGGAACUUUAGAGCUGAAAAUUUAAUU
RNA transcript from Zophobas morio, 693 nucleotides. RefSeq lists it as uncharacterized. The transcript is spliced from 5 exons. Lineage: Eukaryota; Metazoa; Arthropoda; Insecta; Coleoptera; Tenebrionidae. The record is from RefSeq and is a predicted model, not a curated record.